GGCAGCAUGUCCACCCAUUCAAGUUAUCCCCAGAAAUACCACAUACUCCUUUGAAAGGAGCAAAUGCAGGACAUGAAAAAGGAAGAGACCAUGUCAGUGAAGGCGCUGAGAAAGGGAAAGUGAAUCCUGCCUGUGACAUCACAGGCAGAGCAUGUGUCAGGUAGAGGUGACAGCAGCAUUGACUUCUUACCACUGCAGAUCAGCACCCUGGGCUCAGAGCUUGCCUUAUCUACCCUGACUCUGCCAUGGGCUGCAGGCUUCUCUGCUAUGUGGCCCUCUGCCUCUCGGGAGCAGACCCCUUGGACACAGCUGUUUCUCAGACUCCAAAAUACUUUGUCACACAAAUGGGAAAUACAAGAUCUUUUUACUGUGAACAAAAUCUGGGCCAUGAUAAUAUGUACUGGUAUAAGCAGGACUCCAAGCAAUUGCUGAAGAUUAUGUUUAGCUAUAAUAAUAAGGAACUCAUCAUAAAUGAAACAGUGCCAAGUCGCUUCUUACCUAAUUCUCCAGACAAAGCUCAUUUAAAACUUGACAUCAAGUCUCUGGAGCCAGGUGACUCAGCCCUGUAUCUCUGUGCCAGCAGCUAAGACACAGCCUUGCAGAAU
Molecule: non-coding RNA, 605 nt
Organism: Tupaia belangeri chinensis (Chinese tree shrew)
Lineage: Eukaryota; Metazoa; Chordata; Mammalia; Scandentia; Tupaiidae
Source: the annotation of a RefSeq genome assembly